RNAcentral lists this unclassified non-coding RNA (1694 nucleotides) under Hevea brasiliensis (rubber tree). Lineage: Eukaryota; Viridiplantae; Streptophyta; Magnoliopsida; Malpighiales; Euphorbiaceae. The record is from RNAcentral.
CUCCUUUCACCUGAUUGCAUUAUUUCCUUUACAUUUUAUUUUUAUUUAUUUAACUCUUUUUCCUUUUUUGCCGACACCCAUAAGCCUCUCUCUCUCUCUCUCUCUCUCUCAUCGCCAAGGCCUAAGCUUCGAUUCUUUCUCUCUUGCUGUCCUUUUCUUUAAUGGCGAUGCCUCUUGCCACGGGCUCCGAUCUCAACCUCAUUAUUGACCACUUCCACUUUUCUUCUUUUUAUUCUUCUUAUUUUCAGUGUCUACGGUAGUCUAACAUGCUCUCUACCUCACUCCAAGCUCGCCUGUAAGCACAACCACACAACAAGAAAUUUCAAUAAUGGCUGGGGAGCCCAGUGCUCUUUCUUUCUGUGUACCUCGUUCAUCGCUUACUGAGUUGCUGUUUCUUUUAUUUUUCCUCGCCUCUAUCUUUGCUUUGCCGCUUCUUGUUCAAUGCAAUACUGAUCCCUCCGAUGUUCAAGCUUUACAGGUCAUUUACACUUCAUUGAACAGUCCUUCGCAGCUAACCAAUUGGAAAAGCAAUGGUGGUGAUCCGUGUGCAGAAUCAUGGAAAGGAGUUACUUGUGAGGGAUCAGCUGUUGUUUCCAUCCAGAUUUCUGGAUUAGGACUCAGCGGGACGAUGGGGUACAUGCUUUCAAACCUUAUGUCACUAAGAACAUUUGAUCUAAGUGACAAUAACAUUCAUGAUUCAAUCCCUUAUCAAUUACCGCCAAAUAUUACAAGCCUAAAUCUUGCGAGAAACAACUUAAGUGGGAAUCUUCCUUAUUCCAUUUCUAGCAUGUUUUCGAUCACUUACUUGAAUGUGAGCCGUAAUUCACUUUCCCAAUCAGUUGGAGAUGUUUUUUCAAAUCUUUCACUUUUCACAACCCUGGAUCUCUCUUUCAACAAUUUUAGUGGAGAUCUUCCCAGUUCCAUUAGUUCAUUGUCCAAUCUUUCAACACUCAAUGUUCAGAACAAUCAACUGACUGGUUCUCUAGAUGUUCUUACGGGUUUGCCUUUGACUACUUUAAAUGUUGCAAACAACCAUUUCAGCGGAUGGAUACCUCAAGAACUUAAUUCAAUUCCAAACUUUAUAUAUGAUGGAAAUUCUUUUGACAAUGGUCCUGCUCCUCCUUCUCCACCAUAUACCCCACCGCCACCUGGUAGAUCUCAUAAUAAUCGUAGUCAUUCAGGAUCAGGCGCACAUUCACCCCCAUCUUCUAAUGGCCAGUCAUCUGAAUCGGAUAAGGGAAUGUCAGUGGGGGCUAUUAUAGGCAUAAUCAUGGGUUGUGUGUUUAUGCUUCUCCUUGCACUUCUUGCUGUUGUUUUUUGCAUUAGAAAAAAUAAAAGGAAGGACACUGGUGUCAUAGUUUCCCAGGGAAGUCGGUCUGCUGGCACAAAUGACAUAAAUAUGGACAUACAAGAGCAGAGAGUGAAAAACAUUGCUGCUGUUACAGAUCUGAAGCCCCCACCUGCUGAGAAAUUGGUAGUUGAGCGGUUACAGGGGAAUUCUGGAUCCAUAAAGAGAAUGAAGUCACCAAUCACUGCUACUUCAUNNNNNNNNUCUCCAAACAGCAACUAAUAGCUUUAGUCAAGAGUUUCUAAUUGGUGAAGGUUCUCUUGGUCGUGUUUACAAAGGGGAGUUUCCUAAUGGAAAGGCAAUGGCUAUUAAGAAGAUCGACAAUGCAGCACUUUCAUUACAGGAG